UGAGAGUCUGCUCCCUGCAUUUUCAUUCUGGAAAACCAGCAAAUGAAAUGUACAGCUCCCACCCAGACUGAGCCCCAUCUCUCAACCUGGGCCACACUAAGAUAAAUGUCACAUCGACUGCACGCUAUGAGAGAAGGGAAGGAGAAAACGGCGGAGGACUGACAGUACACCUGCGAUGGAUGACACAGUUAUGGAUGACCUUCUUCCAGCAGUGGAGACACCAGCACCAGUAGACGAUGGAGCUGACCAGAGACCGCUGACAGAAUGUGACUUCUGUCAUCGUCGGCAGGAUGAAAUCAAGCGGCUGCUGGAAGAGAACAGGGCCCUGAAACGGGAGCUCGGUCAGAGGAAAAUGGGUGAACAUUUCCUGAAGGAUGACAUCAACAAAGUGAAGUACUACACUGGACUUCCACACCUCGAAGUUGUCAUGGGUGUUCUAGCCUGUGUUGCAAAAAUGAGUGAUGCUAAAACCCACACUGAAAUAAAUGUGUCUGAAAUACAGCCAUAAGUGUCUGUCGCAUCCAUACCCACAAUCUUCACAAUAAACAUACUUAAAUGCA
Molecule: long non-coding RNA, 560 nt
Organism: Cololabis saira (Pacific saury)
Lineage: Eukaryota; Metazoa; Chordata; Actinopteri; Beloniformes; Belonidae
Exons: 3
Source: RefSeq, a predicted model, not a curated record